Molecule: ribosomal RNA, 775 nt
Filed under: uncultured Neocallimastigales
Lineage: Eukaryota; Fungi; Neocallimastigomycota; Neocallimastigomycetes; Neocallimastigales
Description: partial large subunit ribosomal RNA
Rfam family: Eukaryotic large subunit ribosomal RNA
Source: RNAcentral
UUAUGUGAUCGUCUCUCGCAUAUCAAUAAGCGGAGGAAAAGAAACUAACAAGGAUUCCCCUAGUAACGGCGAGUGAAGCGGGAAGAGCUCAAAUUUGAAAUCUUAAAGGGUUUCCCUUUACGAAUUGUAGUUUAAAGAAGUGUUUUCUGUUGAGGUUUUGGUAAAAGUUCUUUGGAAUAGGACAUCAUAGAGGGUGAGAAUCCCGUAUUUGACCUUUACUUUCAACUUUGUGAUACACUUUCAAAGAGUCGGAUUGUUUGGGAAUGCAGUCCAAAAUGGGUGGUAAAUUUCAUCUAAAGCUAAAUAUUGGCGAGAGACCGAUAGCGAACAAGUACCGUGAGGGAAAGAUGAAAAGAACUUUGAAAAGAGAGUUAAACAGUACGUGAAAUUGUCAAAAGGGAAGCGUUUGACACCAGUGUUGUUUUUCUGAAAAUCAAUUAAAGAACUGUUUAUGCUAAGUUGUUUAGACUUUAUCAGCUAUCUGUUUAGUUUUGAGCUUUUCUUUAAUGCACUUUUCAGUUAACAAGUCAACAUCAAUUUCUUUUGCUGUAAAAAAGCUUGAGGAAGGUGGCUUGAGAUUCGUCUUAAGUGUUUAUAGCCUCUUGCCUAUGCAGUCGGAGAGAUUGAGGUCUGCAGCGUAGAUCCUUCGGGGCUAAAUGCAUUUGUGCUAAGUUAUAGCAUUUUAUAGACAACUUGUUGACUAUGACUUGUCUUGUAGCUUACUCGCUUAUGUUAUUUUACCUACGCUUAGGAUGUUGAUCUACAGAGCGAGAGU